Long non-coding RNA from Rhopalosiphum maidis (corn leaf aphid), 1555 nucleotides. RefSeq lists it as uncharacterized. Lineage: Eukaryota; Metazoa; Arthropoda; Insecta; Hemiptera; Aphididae. The record is from RefSeq and is a predicted model, not a curated record. The transcript is spliced from 3 exons.
UGCAGUGCGUGGCGGUUGCAACAAAAUGUGUAUAUAAUUUUAUAAAAAUCACACCGCGCUUUUGUGUACCUACUUAUUUCUUACACCUAUAUUAUGUAAAAUAUAAGUGCAUCUGAUUCGUAAAAUCCGUCGCCACCGCCUCCACAACGUGCGAAUUAUGGUGUUCGUUAUCGGCAAUUAUUUUUUUUUUGUGUUUAUUAAGACUUUGUGUGUAUACAAUAUACAUAAUAUAUUAUAUAGUUUUUUUAGCCACCAGUGUUAUGAAAAUAUUCUUACCCUGAACAGCUCCACGUUGUGGUGGAAAGAAAUGAAGCGCAAACAGCACGAAAUUGACAUGAGUGGCGGUGGUGGUGGUGGGCUGGCGAGCCGGUGAACAUCGGUCGCAGAUGGAACGACAGAGGCGCUUGCACGUCGUGGUCUCCUUGGAAACGUUAACCGAAGCCAUUUUCGGGCCAAUAACUAUACGUCAUCCGGGUUCACACGAAGUCGUAAACUGACGAGAACACUACUCAUUCUGCACAUGUCUCACGACUGUUGUAUUUGCACGACCGAUAAUAUGCGACCUCCGGUUCAUACGAAGCUGGAUAUUUAUUUGACGACAUAGGCGAGAGGAGUCUAAACUAGUGUCUCACGACUAAACCGGUCGUGUUCACUCCUUCACUCCAACAUGCCGGAUGUAACAGUCUUGUUAAUUUUAUUUAUUUAUUUACCUUAUAACACUAUUUUUUUAGAAAAAGACUUUUAAAAUAAUAAAACACAUAACGUUCUUCAUUGAACAAUUAUAAAUAAAAGUAAUAAAUAAUAUAAACAAUGGAGAUUAUAAUUAUCUUUCAUUAAAAAAAUCGUUAAAACUAUUGAACUACGGCAGAAAAUCUUGUAAAGAGAAAGAAAACUAUUGCUUUAAAAUGAUACGAUAAAGUGCUUAAAACAUUUAUCAUUAGGGUAGGUUUCAUUAAGAAACUUACCAUGAAUAAGAAAAAAAGUAAUUGAAAAUAAAGGACCACGAUACUUGUCAUUGCGGGGAUGCAGAAUAGGUGUAAAUAACCUUAAGUUCUUUGCGGAUAAAAUAAUUAUUUAUUAACAAACCGAGCAACCAAACGAGUUUUAUUCUUUUUUGCAUCAUUUCAUUUAAAGUUUUAAAAAUGUUUUUUUUUAAUUAAUGAAUCCAUCGUUUAACGACAAAUAGUUAGGAAAAGCUCUUUUUCAUAUUUUUAUUAACCUGUUGCCCUGUGUUUUUAAUCUGACCACUCCCAUAACUAUUCCUUUUUCACUGUACGCUUUUUAGAUGUAUAAUAUUGAUAAUUUUUUUUGUUUAUUAAAAUCAACUAUUUAAGUAAAUAUUUGUGAAUACUACUUGACAUUUUUCAUUAAUAAAAUAAAUCUACCAAGUCUACAUAACAACUGUCACUUAUUUGUAUUACAUAUACAUAAUUAAUUUGUCGUGAUUAAAUUAGUCGCUAGGGACUACAAUUCCAUGUCGUUUGGUAAAUUUGUUGUCAAAUAAACUAUUCACUUGCGAUUAGUUGUCGAAUCAAAAAUCAAAAGAAAAAAAUGU